Molecule: long non-coding RNA, 913 nt
Organism: Gasterosteus aculeatus aculeatus (three-spined stickleback)
Lineage: Eukaryota; Metazoa; Chordata; Actinopteri; Perciformes; Gasterosteidae
Source: Ensembl
GUUAAAAGCAGUGGCCACACAGGGACAAGCUCUGGACAUGCAGAUGAUCAGGACAGGAAGCGGCAGCUGGAACGUCUGCGUGGCUCCUCCGUGCUACUCGUAUGUGAACGUCCCCAGCAGGGUGUCCUCCUCCACGUCGUCCUUCAGGCCCUGCAGGAGGAGAAGGUAUUUAGGAAUCCUUUGUGGACCGCCGACACGCACAUAGACCUCAAAGUCUUUGUUGGCGGAGUCUAUGCGGCCGGUGGGGGAGUCGUAGCGCGGGAGGUGGUCCAUUUGUUCCUUCAUUGUAGAUUAAUACAAAGCACAUGAGACUGUGUGUUAAACAAACCAGAAUCACUUUGAUGUUUUGCUUCGAUGCAGCUUCGCAUUCUUUCGGCUUCAUGAGGUAAUCGACCGGAACGCUUCGUAAUUAACGGAGGCUCGAGAGUUCUUUUGUUGGUUCUAUUCAGUGAAAAGCGACCUGCCGUCGGCGUUGGUCCUCGUCCAUCACGUCACUUGCUCCUACGCGUCUUUCGCUCCGUGGAUGGAGACAAAGGCAUCGUGUCCACUGACGGAGGAGCAGAGCUGAGGACGAACAGACACAACAACAACAUCUGGAGUUUCAUCAUUAAUGAAUCUCAUGACUGAAUAUUCUCUGUAAAAACGUUGUUAAACUGGACUUUACAGAACAAAUAAAGGACCAACAAAUUGCCUUUCAAAUUGUAUUUAAUGAAUGACUCAAUCAUCCUUGCAAGUUGCGUUAUGUUUGGAGGAGACGGAGCUCGUAAAUGACACAAAGACAAAUUAAAGAUAUUAAACCUCUCAGACAGCAAACCUUAUACUAAUGAUUAUUACACACAUUUGUACUCUUUUCUCACCUCAAUAGCAGAUUUCUAUUUUAUUUUAUGAUCAUAAUCUCGUCCUACCUCGAUGG